AUGACCUGGGCCCCUCUCCUCCUCGCGGUGCUCGUCCACGGCUCAGGUUCCCUGGUCCAGGCAGCGCUGACUCAGUCGCCGCCCUCGGUGUCAGCGAACCUGAGACAAACUGUCCAGAUCACCUGCUCUGGGCUUGAUAGCAGCUAUGGUGUUGGCUGGUACCAGCAGAAGGUCCCUGGCAGUGCUCCUGUCACUGUGAUCUAUGGUAGCAACCAGAGACCCUCGGACAUCCCUUCGCGAUUCUCCGGAUCCAAAUCCGGCUCCACGGGCACGUUAACCAUCACUGGGGUCCAACCCGAGGACGAGGCUGUCUAUUACUGUGGUAACUGGGACAGCAGCGGUAAUGAUGUUGUAGUGACAGAGAUGUGGAAGUGA
Non-coding RNA from Antrostomus carolinensis (chuck-will's-widow), 375 nucleotides. The record is from the annotation of a RefSeq genome assembly. NCBI's taxonomy places the organism in Eukaryota, Metazoa, Chordata, Aves, Caprimulgiformes, Caprimulgidae.